GUCUCACUAAAGUUGUGCAUGUUGUUCUGGAACUUGUGAUCCUCUUGUGUAUACCUUCCAAGUAGCUGGGAUUACAGGCAAGCACCACCAUCCCCAGCUAUUUGUAUUGUUGUUUUUUGUGGUACAGGGGAUUGAACCCAGGCUUACUUUAUCAUUUUACCACUGAGGUACACCACAGCCCAUUUUUUAUUUUGAGACAGGGUCUCUCUAACCUUCCCAGGCUGGCCUCAAACUUAUGAUUCUCCUGCUUUAGCCUCCCAAAUUGUUAGGAUUACAGACAUGUACCAUUGCAAUGUUUUUUAUUGUUUUUAAUGGAAAUAGCUUUAAUGGAAUGUUUUAACUACAAAAGAAACUCAUACUACAGUGUUAUGAUAAAAGUAAAGUCAUCCCUCAGUAUCCACAGGGGAUUGGCUCCAUGACUUCCCUCUACACCCUGCCAAAAUACCUAAAUCUGCAGAUGUUAAAGUUCAUUAGAUAAAAUGGUGUGAUAUAGUUGACCAAUAAACAACAUAGAGGUUAGGGUCCCUAUGCAGUCACAAAUCCACAUAUAACUUUUGACACCCCCCAAAACUUUAUUGCUGUUGCCUGGAAGCUUUAUCAAUAACCUAGUCAAUUUAACAUAUAUUUUAUAUGUUGUAUGUAUUAUAUUUGGUGAAAAUGCUCAAAACCUUGUGGUAUCACUUUUUACUGCAAUAUGCAAUUUACUGGACAGAGACCGUUCACAUGGAGAUGAUUAGCAUCAUAGGGCAUUUUAAGCGGAUAUUUGCAACAUGAAGCUCACUGCAAC
This 787-nucleotide long non-coding RNA is filed under the name Marmota monax (woodchuck). Lineage: Eukaryota; Metazoa; Chordata; Mammalia; Rodentia; Sciuridae. The record is from RNAcentral.